This 73-nucleotide transfer RNA is filed under the name Tamilnaduibacter salinus. It matches the Rfam family "tRNA". Rfam says of the family: Transfer RNA (tRNA) molecules are approximately 80 nucleotides in length. Their secondary structure includes four short double-helical elements and three loops (D, anti-codon, and T loops). Lineage: Bacteria; Pseudomonadati; Pseudomonadota; Gammaproteobacteria; Pseudomonadales; Marinobacteraceae. The record is from Rfam by way of RNAcentral.
GCCGGAAUAGCUCAGCAGGUAGAGCAACGCAUUCGUAAUGCGUAGGUCGGGGGUUCGACUCCCUCUUCCGGCA